UCACCCACAGCAGCCAUGACUUUAAUCCCCAUCUUCAUCUGGACUCUGAUCUUCUGGACUCGAGAGUCCACAGGUCAGGUGACUGUAACUCAGACUCCUGCAGUGAAAUCUGCUCGUCCAGGAGACACAGUCACCAUCAGCUGUAGAACCAGCACUGCAGUGUAUUACUACAGCUCAAAUGGUCACUACUUAUACUGGUAUCAGCAGAAACCUGGAGAAACUCCUAAACUCCUGAUUAAACUUGCGAAUCAGCUUCAGUCUGGUUUUCCAGCUCGUUUUAGUGGCAGCGGAUCUGGAACAGCCUUCACUCUGACCAUCAGUGGGGUCCAGCCUGAAGAUGCAGGAGAUUAUUACUGUCAGAGUUACCAUUAUAUCAGCAGCAACGAUCUGUUCACACAGUGACACAGAGCCGUACAAAAACCUCCCUCAGUCACACUGUACAGUGGCUGCACUGCUGCAGUGGGACCUCCUGCAGGUGCUGGAGUCGGAGGCUGUGAAUAUAUAUGAAUAUUUACUAAACUAGAAUAUGUAUAUAGUGUAAAGCAGAAACUAGAACACUGUUUCAGUUUUUGAAGGAAAGCUUUUAUUUAUAAGGCAAAGUUUCACACAUUUCAGCACUGAAACACAUUUAACACAUCUAACUGACUGCUGUGCUAAAUGAUCCGAUCUUAGCAAAGCGGAGGUGCAUUUGUGAGGUCACAGGUCAGAGCAUUGGUCUGCGCUCACUGUCUUGCGGACAGUAGGCUGGGAGUCCUUGGUGGCCUCACAGGUCACUGUGUUCUUCAGCCACCGCUGCUGGCUGAGGGUCAGGGUGCUGCUCCAGCUGUAGAGGCCGUCGUUCUUCUGCAGAAGCGCAGGGCUGACCCCCGACUCCAAUGAGCAAACGCCCACCUUCCAGCUCAGCUUCCAGUCUGAGGGGAAGCCCCCGCUGCCCACACAGUCCAGAGUGGCCUUCUCCUGAUCCUGCUCCACGCUGGACGGGGGCAGCAACGUGAGGGUGGGUGCCGUGUCACCUAGGAGACACACAUACACAGUCUAAAGCUCUGAUAGGUGGAGACAGCUAUCAAUCAUUCAGCCCAGAGAAACAGGUGGAGCCGCCACAGGAAGACACUGUGUUUCAUUUCUCUCAAACCACACAGAGCAGAACUGAGUUCAGUUGAGCAUAAAAACACAUUCAAACUGCAGCCUGUUUAUUUCAAAUAUAUCUGACCUGAAUUACAAUAUUUCAUAAAUGAUAUUGUGUCCUGAACGUAUUACUGUUGGACUUUAAUAAAAGCAUUAAGAACAAUGUGCAGUUUGGUUCCUCCCCCGAAAGCAAAUACUUAAGUCUGAAAUCUUUUAUUAGAAGUUAAAAAUUCAUUACAAGUUAAAAUUAGAAGUUAAAGUUUACUGACUAACCAGAAACCUUUCAGAGUCAACAGUGACAUCUAAAUACUGGAACAAAUGUUCAAAAAACUAUUAAUCCUUAAACACAAAUCACUCCAUCAGAAUAAGACAAAUAGUUCCUCUAUUUCUCCAACAGACUCACAGAAAACAAGACUACAAACACACUCAGACAAUGUUUUUAGAGGAAUUAAC
Non-coding RNA from Colossoma macropomum (tambaqui), 1578 nucleotides. The record is from the annotation of a RefSeq genome assembly. NCBI's taxonomy places the organism in Eukaryota, Metazoa, Chordata, Actinopteri, Characiformes, Serrasalmidae.